ACGUAGGGUGCAAGCGUUAUCCGGAAUCACUGGGCGUAAAGCGUGCGUAGGUGGCGCGUUAAGUGAGAUGUUAAAUCGUGUGGCUCAACCAUAUCGAUGCAUCUCAUACUGGCGUGCUAGAGGGAAGCAGAGGCAAGUGGAAUUGGUAGUGUAGCAGUGAAAUGCGUAGAUAUUACCAGGAACACCAAUGGCGAAGGCAGCUUGCUGGGCUUCUUCUGACACUGAGGUACGAAAGCGUGGGGAGCGAACAGGA
This 253-nucleotide ribosomal RNA is filed under the name uncultured prokaryote. RNAcentral's name for it is "partial 16S ribosomal RNA". It matches the Rfam family "Bacterial small subunit ribosomal RNA", at positions 525 to 777 of the family's 1533-position model. The record is from RNAcentral.